UAUACAUGCAGUCGAGCGGACGGAUGGGAGCUUGCUCCCUGAAGUCAGCGGCGGACGGGUGAGUAACACGUGGGCAACCUGCCUGUAAGACUGGGAUAACUCCGGGAAACCGGGGCUAAUACCGGAUAAUUCUUCCCUUCACAUGAGGGGGAGCUGAAAGAUGGUUUCGGCUAUCACUUACAGAUGGGCCCGCGGCGCAUUAGCUAGUUGGUGAGGUAACGGCUCACCAAGGCGACGAUGCGUAGCCGACCUGAGAGGGUGAUCGGCCACACUGGGACUGAGACACGGCCCAGACUCCUACGGGAGGCAGCAGUAGGGAAUCUUCCGCAAUGGACGAAAGUCUGACGGAGCAACGCCGCGUGAGUGAUGAAGGUUUUCGGAUCGUAAAACUCUGUUGUCAGGGAAGAACAAGUGCCGGAGUAACUGCCGGCACCUUGACGGUACCUGGCCAGAAAGCCACGGCUAACUACGUGCCAGCAGCCGCGGUAAUACGUAGGUGGCAAGCGUUGUCCGGAAUUAUUGGGCGUAAAGCGCGCGCAGGCGGUUCCUUAAGUCUGAUGUGAAAGCCCACGGCUCAACCGUGGAGGGUCAUUGGAAACUGGGGAACUUGAGUGCAGAAGAGGAGAGUGGAAUUCCACGUGUAGCGGUGAAAUGCGUAGAGAUGU
This 665-nucleotide ribosomal RNA is filed under the name Bacillus sp. CSu1_8. Its description in RNAcentral is "bacterial SSU rRNA". It matches the Rfam family "Bacterial small subunit ribosomal RNA", at positions 50 to 699 of the family's 1533-position model. Lineage: Bacteria; Bacillati; Bacillota; Bacilli; Caryophanales; Bacillaceae. The record is from RNAcentral.